This 465-nucleotide ribosomal RNA is filed under the name uncultured bacterium. Its description in RNAcentral is "partial 16S ribosomal RNA". It matches the Rfam family "Bacterial small subunit ribosomal RNA", at positions 28 to 507 of the family's 1533-position model. The record is from RNAcentral.
GACGAACGCUGGCGGCGUGCUUAACACAUGCAAGUCGAACGGAAAGGCCCUGCUUGCCGGGUACUCGAGUGGCGAACGGGUGAGUAACACGUGGGUGAUCUGCCCUGCACUUCGGGAUAAGCCUGGGAAACUGGGUCUAAUACCGGAUAGGAGCCAUUUUUAGUGUGAUGGUUGGAAAGUUUUUUCGGUGUAGGAUGAGCUCGCGGCCUAUCAGCUUGUUGGUGGGGUAAUGGUCUACCAAGGCGGCGACGGGUAGCCGGCCUGAGAGGGUGGACGGCCACAUUGGGACUGAGAGACGGCCCAGACUCCUACGGGAGGCAGCAGUGGGGAAGAUUGCACAAUGGGCGCAAGCCUGAUGCAGCGACGCCGCGUGGGGGAUGACGGCCUUCGGGUUGUAAACUCCUUUCGCUAGGGACGAAGCUUUUUGUGACGGUACCUAGAGAAGAAGCACCGGCUAACUACGUG